UACGGAGGGGACUAGCGUUGUUCGGAAUUACUGGGCGUAAAGCGCACGUAGGCGGAUUGUUUAGUCAGGGGUGAAAUCCCGAGGCUCAACCUCGGAACUGCCUUUGAUACUGGCAAUCUCGAGUCCGGAAGAGGUGAGUGGAAUUCCUAGUGUAGAGGUGAAAUUCGUAGAUAUUAGGAAGAACACCAGUGGCGAAGGCGGCCCACUGGUCCGGUACUGACGCUGAGGUGCGAAAGCGUGGGGAGCAAACAGG
Molecule: ribosomal RNA, 253 nt
Filed under: uncultured bacterium
Lineage: Bacteria
Description: partial 16S ribosomal RNA
Rfam family: Bacterial small subunit ribosomal RNA
Source: RNAcentral